AUGGAGGUGUCGAGAAACGAAGGCCGGUUUGAGAGUCGAAUGUUAGAGAAGGGGGAGGAGCCCUCUAAACUGCAAGGUGGAGAAGAGACGUAGAGAUUUUUGUUGAAGAGGAGAAGUUCUAAGUGGACCGAAUACGCUUCUAAGUGAGCCAUGUGGAGAAGAAAUCGAGAGUUGAAAAGAAGAGGUUCUUCGUGAGCCGAACGCGGUUCUAAGCAAGUCGCAAGGAGAGGAAGGAGUAGAUCUGUGUGAUCAAGAUUUAUCUGUGUGAAGCGAGAUGUACCGGAGAUUUGUGUGAUCAGAAAAGGAGACAAAGAUGAAGAUGAUUUGUGCGAUCUAUGAAGAGUUCUGUUUGAACGGUGCAACGGUUCUGAGUGAAUCGACUGGGAUGUGUUCUAUACGAACGAUUUAUGUGCGAAAAAAUGAGAAGAAUCUGAGUGAUUCAUGGUGGUGAAUGAUGAUUCUUUGUGGGUCUAAUCAAGAACAAAAUUUGUGUGAUUUUAAGGUGCAGCCGAUGUGUGGAGACAUGCGGUGAACAGAACCUGUGUGGCUCAGCGAAUUCAAGUGAACAAGUUGUGGUUAUGAUCAGAUGAAGGAUGAAAAUGAAGAGAUGAAUGAAAAUCGGAUAUGUUUGUUUGGGAUAAGAUUAUGAAUUA
RNAcentral lists this long non-coding RNA (653 nucleotides) under Helianthus annuus (common sunflower). RNAcentral's name for it is "hypothetical non coding rna". Lineage: Eukaryota; Viridiplantae; Streptophyta; Magnoliopsida; Asterales; Asteraceae. The record is from RNAcentral.